This 86-nucleotide small RNA is filed under the name Prodigiosinella confusarubida. Its description in RNAcentral is "Serratia sp. ATCC 39006 CyaR/Rye RNA". It matches the Rfam family "CyaR/Rye RNA". From Rfam's summary of the family: This sRNA was originally identified in a large scale screen of E. coli. It was shown to bind Hfq and called RyeE. Lineage: Bacteria; Pseudomonadati; Pseudomonadota; Gammaproteobacteria; Enterobacterales; Pectobacteriaceae. The record is from Rfam by way of RNAcentral.
AAAAUACAGAACGAAAAAUAAGCGUAGUAAAUACUACUAGGAACCACCUCCUUGGCCAGCUCAAUCUCCCUUGAGCUGGCUUUUCU